GGGGGAGGUGUGGUGCAGGGGACCCCCUGUGGCUUGCGGCUCACUGAUGCUUAAGAGGAGCCCAGGGCUGGAGGCCGUAAGGCUCUAGGUACUAAGAAACCACAGAAAGCACGUGGGGGUGGGGCUCUGCGUUACAGCACACCACAGUGGAAUUUUCCAAAUAGCCUUGUUUUUUAAAGGCAUCGCCCCGUUGCCUUCUGCUGCCGCCACCCUCAGAAAGCGAAACCCGAUUUAGAAGCUGCGGGAUCAGGUCUCACGUGGGAGCCACGUGAGAUGGGUGCAGAGGGCAGAGGUGGCAGGGGAUGCAGAUGCUUCUCACGCCCGAUCAUCCCUUGCGGGAAACUCUCCCGCCCCUUCCACGCGUGCGGCUCCCCGGAAGCACCUCGAACUCUGUCAAGUCCUCCCCUUUGCACCUGCUCUGCCCUCGGCCUGGACCUCCUGGGAUUCCCUUCUCCUCUACUUCCUAGUCCCCUCUGUCCCCAGGUCCCCAGCGGGUAGUCAGGGCCCACACGGAGGAGAGGGGAAGAGCGUAGCCUGCCUGAGCCCUGCGCAGUGUGUGUCUACCGUCUUCGUCCUCGCAGUCGCCCAUGUUGCCGAGAAGAACUGAGGCUCACGCGGGGGAACGUUCCGUGCCCACGGCCCCAUAGCUGCGAAGGACACAGGCAGGAUUGGCAACCAGGCCGUCUGGCUCCAGCUCCAUGUGAGAGUAAUAGCCACCGUGGAAAAUUUGGUGAAUGCAGAUGAGUCCACAGAAGAAAAUACACGGUGCCUGCCACCCUCCCUUCCAGAGAGAGCCACUGGCAUGUGAGCCACUCAGACGUCCCCUUUGUCUUCUUUCCCUACGGACUACCCUCUGAGUAACCGUCAGCCCCGAUGCGGUCCUUCUCUGCUGCUUAUUCGGUGCAAGCCGCCUCUGUGAGCUGCACCUUCCUCGUCUCUGAAAUAGAGCUUAAAACGCGUUCCCUCCCCCGUGGGACAGUGUGAAGCCGAGUGCAGCAGUGAAUGUGGAGUGGUGUAGCCGGCGGGGUGGCAGGUGCUUGGUAGACAGCGGCUACCAAGGGAAGCCCGAGAAGCGGGCUACCAAGGGAAGCAGAAGAAGCCCACUGUGCCACCAGGGAAGCCCGAGAGCCAUUUUUAUUGUGGAAAAUUUCAAACAUACACACAGUGAACCGUAGAGUGAUCCCCUAGGUACCCAUCUCAACACUGGUUAUAUUCUGCUCUUCCUGUCACCACCCCAUAUUCUUGUUGUUUUUAUUUUUCCUGGAUUCACUUAGAGUGUAUCUUAGAUAUAUCAGAACCCAUGAAAAUACUUCAGCUUGUUCCAUGCACAUCUUUAGUAGUAAGGUUUUUUUUUUUUUUUUGAGGCAUAAUCAUAAUAUCGUCAGAUACCUAUAAAAUUAACAAUAAUUCCUCAAUGUUUUAUAAUUCCCCAAUUAUCUCUAAAAAUGUCUUCUUAUAGUUUGUUCAAAUCAGAUUCUGGGAAAUUCCCUGGCAGUCCAAUGGUUAGAACUCUGCGCUUCCACUGCAGGGGGCACGGGUUCGAUCCCUGGUCGGGGAAUUAAGGUUCUAAAUCAGGUUCCAAAAGCAACAUACUGCACUUGGUAGAUGGGUCAUUACGUCUCUUUUAGUCUGAAAUAGUUCUCCCUUGGUUUGUUUUUCCUACGCGAUAUAUUUGAUGACAUUGCGUUAUUUGUCUUGUGGAAUUUUCUGAAUUAUGGAUUCAGAGGACUGUACAUUUGUGGUGGUGUUGAACAAGCUCCUCUAGCCCCAGUAUUUCCUAUAAACUCAGUUUCAUCCCAAGCAGCGGUCCUCAAUUUUGCCCCCAAGGAACAUUUUGCAGUAUCCUCUGAAGAGAGUCCCUUAGGAGGCACUGCGCUGGGGAUGGGAGUGGGACCAGUAGAGUGGUCUGCAUCUAGGGGUCACUCCCAGCAUCCACGCAUGUGUACUUCCUACAUGUCCCAUCAGGAGUGGACAGCUUCUCCCACUCUUAGCAACAUCGCCUUGGACUAGGGGGUCCCGGUGCUGUCAGCACAUCACCUGAUGAUUCCGCAGCCAUUCAUAAUCAUGGUCUAGAUCAACCAUUCGGGUUGAGGGAUGGUGAGACCUAUUUUUUUUUUAGUGUAAUGCAAUUAUGACUUUAAUACUUUCUCACAUACUGUUUACAAAGGGCUUUCCCAUCCAGGAUCGAAUAACCAAACUCACAGCUAUGCUGGAGGCGGGUCCAAUAAUCUUCCUCUUUUUUUGUAAAUUGAUUUUUACUGGAGAAUAAUGUACAGUGUUGUGUUAGUUUCUGCUGUACAGCAAAGUGAAUCAGUUAUACAUAUACAUAUAUCCACUCUUGUUUAGAUUUUUUUCCCAUAUAAGUCAUUACAGAGUAUCAACUAGAGUUCCCUGUGCUACACAGUAGGUUUUUUAAAAAAUUAAUUAAUUAAUUAUUACCUUUUUUUUGGCUGCGUUGGGUCUUUGUUUCUGCACAUGGGCUUUCUCCAGUUGCGCCGAGCGGGGGCUACUCUUGGUUGCGGUGCACGGGCUUCUCAUUGCAGUGGCUUCUCUUGUUGCGGAGCACGGGCUCUAGGCACAUGGGCUUCAGUAGUUGUGGCACGUGGGCUCAGUAGUUGUGCCUCGCGGGCUCUAGAGCGCAGGCUCAGUAGUUGUGGCACACGGGCUUAGCUGCUCCGCGGCAUGUGGGAUCUUCCCGGACCAGAGCUCGAACCCGUGUCCCCUGCACUGGCAGGCGAUUCUUAACCACUGUGCCCCCAGGGAAGCCCUAUACCGUAGGUUCUUAUUAGUUAUCUAUUUUAUACAUAGUAGUGUGUCUAAGUCAAUCCCAAUCACCCCAUUUAUCGAUAAUCUUCUGAUAAUUUUCUCCAGACAAGGAGGCUGAGAUCAGAGAAGGGAAGGGGCACAAGACCCCACAGCUCAAAAGGAGAAGCAGGCCAGGCCUGGGCAGGGCCGCCGCCCAGAGCUCCAUUCACUGGAGGAUGCUGAGCUCAUGCAGCUGCAGAGAAGGGAGGAAAGGCCCUGUGAUCUUCUUUUAAGAGCUACAAAAGUUCUAAAGCGUUCUCUGCUGUGCAUCAGCUGUUUCUAGCAUCCCUCUCCAACCUCAGAGACCACUGCUCACCCAUGACACAAAGGGGGGCCCGGCUCACACCCCUUCAGGCCUCCUGCCACCUCCAGCAUGAGACCCAAACCCUCUCAAGCCCCUCCCACAUCUGUCUUCCCAUCUUUUCCCACAUCACGGUCCCCACCCCAGCCAAACCCAACUGGGACACCGAACUCGGAUUCUGAUGCACUAACAGGAGACUUCUGCUACGGCUUGACCAGCUGCUCUCGGUGGGCACUAAGGAGGCGGUUAACCCCUGUCCAGCACCCAUGUGUGCAGGCACGUUAUUGCUUUUAACACUGGGGAGUGGGUUUCACCUUUUCAGCUUUCACAUGAGAAAACCGAGGCUUGGAGAGGGUGACCGGCUUGCCAAAGGGGGCCGGAGCUCAUGAGGAGCCAUGCAGGACGGCCUCGGCCCGGGCUUCUUCCAGGUGGCCCCAGGCAGCCACCUCCACGGGGCUGGGAAAAGGUGGGCCCCAGAAAGUGUGGUGGAGAGCUCCACUCCACACGCCGUCGGAGCUCCCCGUGCCGGGCCUUGGUCUCCUGUGCUUUCUGUCAUCUGCAGCGCACUGGAGAGCGGUCACUGCCAGGAAGGAAACCACGCUGUUCACGGCCAAUCUGCAGAGUGACAGGGUGGAAACGGACCCCAGUAUGUUUCUUCCAGAUGAAACGGGUAACUCAUUCCACAGGAAGGGCCGCGUGUAUGCCCUUGGAGUGUGUGAAAUUGACGACUGCACCGCCUUCCUCCCCCUGCCCUGCCCAGGGAUAUCACAUGGCCUUGUCAAGGCCACUCAGCUGUUCAGGGCAGAGCUGGGCCCCGCAUACGUCACCCUGCACCCCUGGCCUGCUGACUUCCGAGGCCCCUGAGUGGGGCGGGGCUAUCUGGGGGCAAGAUAAGAAGAGCCAGCCUUCUAAGGAAGGGGGCUGCCUGGGCUCGGGGGGCUUCACCGCUUUCCUUCAAACUGCUGAAAACUUCAGAGGGCCAGAGCUCAGGCAGGCGGCAGAGACCCUCCGAAGUUUAUCGAGGAGAGACGAAAGAGGAAAUUGUGGUAUCUUUAUCACCAGACAGCUAGGGCUGAGGGAGGUUUACUGACUUAGAAAAAUAAAAUUCAUACCAUUGUUAUAAAGCAGAAACUAACACACCAUUGUAAAGCAAUUAUA
This is a long non-coding RNA of Globicephala melas (long-finned pilot whale), 4264 nucleotides long. RefSeq lists it as uncharacterized. NCBI's taxonomy places the organism in Eukaryota, Metazoa, Chordata, Mammalia, Artiodactyla, Delphinidae. The record is from RefSeq and is a predicted model, not a curated record.